This 784-nucleotide non-coding RNA is filed under the name Metisotoma macnamarai. Lineage: Eukaryota; Metazoa; Arthropoda; Collembola; Entomobryomorpha; Isotomidae. The record is from RNAcentral.
UAACUAUAAAAUUAAAAAAAAUAGUUAUAAAAAUAUUAUUCAAAUGUUAUAAGUUCUUAUUGAGUGAUUAGAAAAGUUUGAUUCUUGCUUUAUAAUUUACAGUACAAAAUUUAUACAUGUAUAUUAAAUUUUUGAGGCAGUAUUUAAUAUUAUAUAAAAUUUAUUUUGGUAUAAUUUUUUGGUUUGUUUUGGGUAAAUGCGUGCCAGCAUUCGCGGUUAGACGUAAAAKACRAGUAAAUUUUUUUGGURAAAUAAAGUUUUUAUKYUUUAAAUCGGAUAAAUUUAAAUUUGAGUGAAAUUAGUUUAAAUUAUUAUUUUGUUUUUUAUUCUUUAAAGUUUUGGUUUAAACCAGGAUUAGAUACCCUGUUAUUCAUAGAUUAGYUUAAACCUAAGUAGUAGUAUUUAUAAAACUUAAAGAAUUUGGCGGUAUUUUAUUCUUUCUAGAGGAACCUGCUCUAUAAUCGAUUUUACACGUUUACUUUUCUUUUAAUAAAGCUUAUAUAUCGUUGUCUUAAGAAUUAAUCAGGGGGAGAUUUUUUCUAGGYUCUUUAUGAGAAAUAUGUCAAAUCAAGGUGUAGUGUUUAAAAGAAGAGGUGGGUUACAAUURUUUAUUUAAUGGAAAUARGUUGAAAAAUAAGUUGAAAUUGGAUUUAGAAGUAAUUUUUUGARCYUUAAAAUUUAAAUUAAGCYCUAAAAUAUGUACAUAUCGCCCGUCGCUUUAAUUAUUUUGAAAUUAGAUAAGUCGUAACAAAGUAGUUUUUCCGGAAGGAAAUGCUUGAAAUUA